UUGAGCUAAAAUUGGAGAAACUGCACAGGUAGAAACAUUCUUAACAUAAUGAAUGGCUUAUGUAAACCAGGAAUAAUGUUGUCUGGGGUAUAUUUUGCUGUCUGCAAAAACCCAGAGACCUAACAGGUACCUGCAAUUCCAUGUCUUGAUGUUCUUUAGCCAAUUUUCCCCUGCCAUGAGGAGGUCAACAGUCAUGUACCUUCUGUGUUGGACACUGUCAAGCCUUGUUUACUGUCAUUAUAAGGUCCCAGGAGAAAGCUGGUGAGUUUUUGGCAGUUUGUGGCAGAGGAGAGAGCUACAGCUGCAGAGCAGUUGUUGUCAUAACACCUAUUCAUCAUUAUCCCUCCCAUCAUGAAUCACCUCCUGAUAACCAACCCCUCUUUGUUUACAUCCAUCACAUCUAGAAAACCUGUGCUCGCAUCCAGGAAUCACGUCUCUACCUGGGAAAACUCUGGCCGGUUUUGUGCCAGUAUUUCUUCCCCAAACCCAGAAAAUUCUCGAAGUCUCCCUGCUGAGAGAACAGGGACAGCUUUUCAAAUGUUUUGUUCACUUCCACUUAAAAUUCAACCAGAGUAUCUAAAUUAGGAAUGCUGCUACAUUCCAGCUCAGAAAGCUGCAGUGCUCUGUUACAAAGAGGGACUUCGUCUCCUCCUCGUCAUCCAGAAGCCCGUCUUUCUGGAUCGUCUGGUCCAUUUGCCUAGGUGGAAAGCUUGGUAGGGGGCCCGUGUUGUACCCUUCCUUCUGUGUCUGGUACAGUGUGGAGCACCAUGUCAGCGACGCACUAAUACACAAGAAUAAUCAGCUCAUCAAAUCAGCUUCAUUAGUUGGAGCUUGAGAGCACAGCUCCGCUGCCCAGCCCCGCAGACACGCAGCCUGCCUCACCGCUCCAUCUGCUGCAGCCGAGCAGGAGGGGUCUGCCCAUUCGGCUGUUCACGCAGAAGUGCAAAAGCCCGGGACACGGGGGUACUUCGAGCAUGUGCCAUGUUCCUGCCUGACACAUGUCACCAGGGGACUGCUGCUCCUCCCCUGUCUCUCGCUAAAGAAAAUGAUUUAUGCAGCACCAAGCAUAAGGGGGCCCCAUUCUCCACUGGCUGAGGCCUCUUCAUCUCCAGGGUACAGCGAUGAGUGCAGCAGGAGCAGGAAGGACAGCUGGAAAGCAAUGACACCAUUCCCCUGAUGGAUGCAAUCAUCUGUGGUGGUUAGGCUGCUUUGCGUGACAGGACCCUAAGUGAUGACCAAGAGAAGAGGAGAAGAUACAGAUGUAUGGGUGGAGUGGAGGAAGGAGGUCAGGCCGAGGGACUGCUGUGGUUUAAACACCCCCCAGCUGUGAAGAGGUCAUGGCUUCUCCUGCUCGUCUCACUGUUCCUUUCACAGAUAGUCUGGUGACUACAACCACCACCACCACAACCUUGCUAAGUAAAUAAGGUCCAUAACACCA
Aquila chrysaetos chrysaetos is the source of this 1438-nucleotide long non-coding RNA. RefSeq lists it as uncharacterized. The transcript has 4 exons. Lineage: Eukaryota; Metazoa; Chordata; Aves; Accipitriformes; Accipitridae. The record is from RefSeq and is a predicted model, not a curated record.